This 1062-nucleotide ribosomal RNA is filed under the name Triticum aestivum (bread wheat). Its description in RNAcentral is "partial small subunit ribosomal RNA". Lineage: Eukaryota; Viridiplantae; Streptophyta; Magnoliopsida; Poales; Poaceae. The record is from RNAcentral.
AUGAAUCGCCGUUUUCUGAAUCUUCUAGUCAACAAAUUGAACGGCCGCUGCCCAGCCGUUAAUCUGCACCGCAUCGAUCUGGCAAGCUUAUUCUGUCCUGCCGGACUACCGCCAGCACAUCCAGCAGCAAUAACCAAGAAGGCUUCGGCAUCGGGUCUGGCUCCGGCUCGGCUCCCUCCCGCCACCAUAUCCUUCUACCAGCCCUAUCCGCCGAGCCAAAACGGGUGGAUGGAUUUCAUGGCCCUCAACGACGACAUCAUUGCCUUCGACUAUGAGAGCCGCACCCUUCUCUAUGAUAGCGCCGUUGGGGCCGUCCGCGUCAUCAACCCGAUCAUAGACCCCAGGUGCCGCUCCAUUUCUCUCACCGUUGGCAAUGUUUUCUAUGUCAUGGCGCGCCAGUCCGGCCUGCCAUGUCAGGGGUACCAUUUUCAAGCUCUCAGCUUGAAAGACUGGUGCUGGCGUCGUCUCCACCCGCUCCCCAUUAAUUUCCUGGAAAUCAUCAAGAACCCAACUCACAAGUACGGGUUGGGGUUGGGUGAGGUGGACCCCUUUGAGUUCAGCGCCUAUGCAGCGGUCGGUGACUCGGACAUCUGGAUAUCCACCGUGGGCGCGGGUACGCACUCCUUCAGCACUAGUAGCGGCAAGUGGAGCAAGCUAGGUGACUGGAUCCUGCCAUUUAGUGGCCCUGCCCAGUAUAUCGCAGAGCAUGGCCUCUGGUUCGGCUUUUCUCGAAAAGAUGAGCACCUCUGUGUAGCCAACCUGGUGCAGGAGCCACCGGCGCCACUGCUUCAUGAAUUUCCCUUUCAGCAAGUGUGGGAAGAACCGCAUCUGUCAGAGGCGUGGACACCGAUGGCGGCUAGUCUCCUGCCGCUUGGCUCUGGCAAGCUUUGCACAGCCAGGGUCUUCCGGACAAGCAAGGGCAACAAGGACAGGAAAGCUGAGAGCAUUGUGGUGUUAGCUGGCAUGGAGUUUGUCAACGAUGCCAGCACGGGAAGGCUAAUGAUAAUCAAGCACAAGUCCGUGAGCUACAUCGUUGGUGGAUACGUCUUCAAACUGCUGUGA